This 441-nucleotide unclassified non-coding RNA is filed under the name Hevea brasiliensis (rubber tree). The record is from RNAcentral. Lineage: Eukaryota; Viridiplantae; Streptophyta; Magnoliopsida; Malpighiales; Euphorbiaceae.
GGUAAUUCCUGAUACAUUUGUUUCUCUUAAGAACCUUACCUUGCUUGAUAUGUCUUCAAAUUUCUUCAAGGGGGCUAUUCCUUCAGAUAUUGGGACUUUGCUUCAGUUGAAAUCCUUGAAUCUGUCUGACAACAGCUUUUCUACUCUGAUACCCACCCAACUCGGUAGACUUUCUAAUUUGGUUGAUCUUAACCUCAGUUUCAAUAGUCUAAGUGGAGUGAUCCCUGAAUUAGGAGGAUUACGGAACUUGAAGGGAAUGGCAGUUGGGCAUAACAGUCUGUCUGGAUCGUUGCCUAAUGCUUUGUGGUCGAUGCCUGGAUUGCAAUUCCUAGAUGUCUCUUCGAAUAACCUUACCGGUAUUCUGCCAAAUGUUAGCUCUGUGGUCAGUGCCACUGGUGCAGUGUUUAAUCUUUCUCAUAAUACGUUUUAUGGAAAUUUGCC